UAGGGAAUCUUCGGCAAUGGGGGCAACCCUGACCGAGCAACGCCGCGUGAGUGAAGAAGGUUUUCGGAUCGUAAAGCUCUGUUGUAAGAGAAGAACGUGUGUGAGAGUGGAAAGUUCACACAGUGACGGUAACUUACCAGAAAGGGACGGCUAACUACGUGCCAGCAGCCGCGGUAAUACGUAGGUCCCGAGCGUUGUCCGGAUUUAUUGGGCGUAAAGCGAGCGCAGGCGGUUUAAUAAGUCUGAAGUUAAAGGCAGUGGCUUAACAAUCGUUCGCCUUGGAAACUGUUAAAAUUGAGUGCAGAAGGGGAGAGUGGAAUUCCAUGUGUAGCGGUGAAAUGCGUAGAUAAAUGGAGGAACACCGGUGGCGAAAGCGGCUCUCUGGUCUGUAACUGACGCUGAGGCUCGAAAGCGUGGGGAGCAAACAGG
RNAcentral lists this ribosomal RNA (429 nucleotides) under bacterium. Its description in RNAcentral is "partial 16S ribosomal RNA". It matches the Rfam family "Bacterial small subunit ribosomal RNA", at positions 355 to 776 of the family's 1533-position model. The record is from RNAcentral.